This 1047-nucleotide ribosomal RNA is filed under the name Entomortierella jenkinii. RNAcentral describes it as "Mortierella jenkinii partial large subunit ribosomal RNA". It matches the Rfam family "Eukaryotic large subunit ribosomal RNA", at positions 47 to 957 of the family's 3401-position model. The record is from RNAcentral. Lineage: Eukaryota; Fungi; Mortierellomycota; Mortierellomycetes; Mortierellales; Mortierellaceae.
AUAGCGGAGAAAAGAAACUAACAAGGAUUUCCCCUAGUAACGGCGAGUGAAGCGGGAUGAGCUCAAAUUUAAAAUCUGGCUGGUUUACUAGUCCGAAUUGUAGUUUAAAGAAGCGUUUUCGGUGGCAGUCUCGGUAUAAAUCCUUUGGAAUAGAGUAUCAUAGAGGGUGAGAAUCCCGUCUUUGACUGAGAAUUUGCUACUAUGUGAUACGUUUUCAAAGAGUCGAGUUGUUUGGGAAUGCAGCUCAAAAUGGGUGGUAAAUUUCAUCUAAAGCUAAAUAUUGGCGAGAGACCGAUAGCGAACAAGUACCGUGAGAGAAAGAUGAAAAGAACUUUGAAAAGAGAGUUAAACAGUGCGUGAAAUUGUUGAAAGGGAAACGCUUGAAACCAGUCAUGUAGUUGGAAAAUCAGUGUUCAAUUGGGGGGAAUGGGAGAGGUGUGGACCGCAAGGCUGCUCUUUUCUAUAUCUCUUUUGUUGAGCAUGCACUUUUCUUUCCGCAGGUCAACAUCAGUUUCUUCUGCUGGACAAAACUCUUGAGAAGGUAGCAGCUUUGGCUGUGUUAUAGCUCUGGAGCGAUACAGUGGAGGGGACUGAGGUUUUCGCAGCAUGUGCUCUCGGGCAAGGCCAACUGGGUGCUAUGGGAUCGUUCGGGGUACAAUACAUGUAUUUUGCUUCGUGUCUUUUCUAUACUCGUUCAAUUGAGCUCUUCCAUGCUUAGGAUGUUGACUUAAUGGUUUUAAUCGACCCGUCUUGAAACACGGACCAAGGAGUCUAACAUAUAUGCAAGUGUUUGGGUGGCAAACCCAUGCGCGUAAUGAAAGUGAACGUAGGUGCCAUCCGCAAGGUGCAGCAUCGACCGAUCUUGAUAUUUUUGGAUAGAUUUGAGUAAGAGCAUAUAUGCUGGGACCCGAAAGAUGGUGAACUAUGCCUGAAUAGGGUGAAGCCAGAGGAAACUCUGGUGGAGGCUCGUAGCGAUUCUGACGUGCAAAUCGAUCGUCAAAUUUGGGUAUAGGGGCGAAAGACUAAUCGAACCAUCAGGGGUGGCAC